This 460-nucleotide ribosomal RNA is filed under the name uncultured bacterium. Its description in RNAcentral is "partial 16S ribosomal RNA". It matches the Rfam family "Bacterial small subunit ribosomal RNA", at positions 338 to 795 of the family's 1533-position model. The record is from RNAcentral.
CCUACGGGAGGCAGCAGUGAGGAAUAUUGGUCAAUGGCCGUAAGGCUGAACCAGCCAAGUCGCGUGAGGGAAGACUGCCCUAUGGGUUGUAAACCCCUUUUAUGCGGGGAUAAUGGUGUCCACGUGUGGCUGUUUGCAGGUCCCGCAUGAAUAAGGACCGGCUAAUUCCGUGCCAGCAGCCGCGGUAAUACGGAAGGUCCGGGCGUUAUCCGGAUUUAUUGGGUUUAAAGGGAGCGUAGGCCGGUCUUUAAGCGUGCCGUGAAAUUUUGUGGCUCAAGCAUGGGAGUGCGGCGCGAACUGGAGACCUUGAGUGCGCGGAAGGCGGGCGGAAUGCGUGGUGUAGCGGUGAAAUGCUUAGAUAUCACGAAGAACCCCGAUUGCGAAGGCAGCCUGCCGCAGCGUGACUGACGCUGAAGCUCGAAAGCGCGGGUAUCGAACAGGAUUAGAUACCCUAGUAGUC